Molecule: ribosomal RNA, 466 nt
Filed under: uncultured bacterium
Lineage: Bacteria
Description: partial 16S ribosomal RNA
Rfam family: Bacterial small subunit ribosomal RNA
Source: RNAcentral
GAUGAACGCUGGCGGCGUGCUUAACACAUGCAAGUCGAACGGAAAGGCCCAAGCUUGCUUGGGUACUCGAGUGGCGAACGGGUGAGUAACACGUGGGUGAUCUGCCCUGCACUUCGGGAUAAGCCUGGGAAACUGGGUCUAAUACCGGAUAGGACCACAUUUUGGAUGGUGUGGUGGAAAGUUUUUCGGUGUGGGAUGAGCUCGCGGCCUAUCAGCUUGUUGGUGGGGUAAUGGCCUACCAAGGCGUCGACGGGUAGCCGGCCUGAGAGGGUGUACGGCCACAUUGGGACUGGGAUACGGCCCAGACUCCGACGGGAGGCAGCAGUGGGGAAUAUUGCACAAUGGGCGCAAGCCUGAUGCAGCGACGCCGCGUGGGGGAUGACGGCCUUCGGGUUGUAAACUCCUUUCGCUAGGGACGAAGCGUUAUGUGACGGUACCUGGAGAAGAAGCACCGGCUAACUACGUG